Molecule: long non-coding RNA, 884 nt
Organism: Myotis lucifugus (little brown bat)
Lineage: Eukaryota; Metazoa; Chordata; Mammalia; Chiroptera; Vespertilionidae
Exons: 4
Source: RefSeq, a predicted model, not a curated record
AUGACAAGAAGGAGUGGGACACAGCAUGAGACACUAGACAAAAGCGCCCUGGGCCCAGCCCGUGAUCUCAGGGAAGUCACUGCUCAUGUGGGCCUCAUUUUCAAGUCUGUACCUUUAAGGGUUGGAAAUGACAGGAAAUUCCGAUAUGGUCACUCACUGGCCUACAACCUCACCGUGGUCUCUUGUUAAACUUAGCCUCGGACAAGUGCCUCAUGUGGGCCCAAGCGUUAGGGGCCUUCACAGUGGCUUCGAGGGAGUCCAGCCUCCUGGUGGGAACAUCCUUGUGUGUCCUCUGAGUGCUCAGUAACUGGCUUCUGAACAACAUAGAGGACGGCCCAGCUGAUGGGGUGUCAGAUUGUUGCAGUGGUGGUGUCAGUGAACUAUGGCCCUUCCGGUAGAACCAGGGCUGUGUACCUUGUUUCCGUACCGUCCUGUUCCAGUGGAACCAUUGCCUCUUCCUAAGCUGAGUUUGACUGAUUGUUGCAGUGGUGGUGUCAGUGAACUAUGGCCUUCCGGUAGAACCAGGGCUGUGUACCUUGUUUCCGUACCGUCCUGUUCCAGUGGAACCAUUGCCUCUUCCUAAGCUGAGUUUGACUGGCCACUGAUGGGUGUGUCAGAGUUCUUUCCGUGGGACAGAGUGAAAGAAUUGCCACCAACAACCGCCGCACGUCCAGCUACCCUGUCUGCAGAGCCAGGGAGCAGGUGAGACCUGCCAUGGCUUGUCCCCAUAGCAGUGCUAUGAGGUUGACCAAGCAGCAGCCCACAUUUCAGAGGAGCAUCCUGAGACUCGGGAAGAUGUGGUGACGUUUCAGCCUCAGAGCUAGCAGUGGGCAGAGUCACGAGUGUGUGCUCACCUAGUGAAAAGCUCGUCCAGGAACCGCUGG